Molecule: non-coding RNA, 384 nt
Organism: Arachis ipaensis
Lineage: Eukaryota; Viridiplantae; Streptophyta; Magnoliopsida; Fabales; Fabaceae
Source: RefSeq, a predicted model, not a curated record
UAAAAUCCUUAUUGUUAGUGUUGUUAUAUGCUUGUUGAGGGUUUUGGGUAUUCACGUUUCAGGGUUAAACCAUUGUAACUAUAGAGCCGUGUUUGAUGGUGUUGUUGCGGAGAGUUUUCAGUGUAGCUAAUGCCACUGCCGUUGUUUCAUUCUCUUAGUACAGGUCGAGUUUUGUUGUGAAGGGUGCUUUUUGGGCUAUACGGCUGCGGGAAAUAGUCGGAGUCAAUGCUGUUCGAUUUCGGAAUGAGGAAAAAGGAAUUCUCCAACGCGUUUGGUUAGUGGUUUUGCGAGCUUUAUCGUUUCAGGAAUCGGAUGAUGCAUUAUGAAGAGUUAUGCUGGGUUUGAUUUAUACGUUGUAUUAAUUAGAUUAUUUUCUUCCCUCAC